CGAACGGGUGAGUAACGCGUGAGGAACCUGCCUCAAAGAGGGGACAACAGUUGGAAACGACUGCUAAUACCGCAUAAGCCCACAGGUCGGCAUCGACCAGAGGGAAAAGGAGCAAUCCGCUUUGAGAUGGCCUCGCGUCCGAUUAGCUAGUUGGUGAGGUAAUAGCCCACCAAGGCGACGAUCGGUAGCCGGACUGAGAGGUUGAACGGCCACAUUGGGACUGAGACACGGCCCAG
This 236-nucleotide ribosomal RNA is filed under the name uncultured bacterium. Its description in RNAcentral is "partial 16S ribosomal RNA". It matches the Rfam family "Bacterial small subunit ribosomal RNA", at positions 99 to 334 of the family's 1533-position model. The record is from RNAcentral.